AGCAGCCGCGGUAAUUCCAGCUCCAAUAGCGUAUAUUAAAGUUGUUGCAGUUAAAAAGCUCGUAGUUGAAUUUCGGGAUUAGUAAGUUGGUCAUGCCUUUGGUAUGUACUGGUUUCACUGAUUCCUCCCUCUUGAUGAACUGUUAUGUCAUUAAUUUGGUGUUUCAGGGAAUCAGGACUGUUACUUUGAAAAAAUUAGAGUGUUUAAAGCAGGCUAACGCUUGAAUACAUUAGCAUGGAAUAAUGAAAUAGGACGUUCGAUCCUAUUUUGUUGGUUUCUAGGAUUGACGUAAUGAUUAAUAGGGAUAGUUGGGGGCAUUAGUAUUCAAUUGUCAGAGGUGAAAUUCUUGGAUUUAUUGAAGACUAACUACUGCGAAAGCAUUUGCCAAGGAUGUUUUCAUUAAUCAAGAACGAAAGUUAGGGGAUCGAAGACGAUCAGAUACCGUCGUAGUCUUAACCAUAAACUAUGCCGACUAGGGAUCGGAUGAUGUUAAUUUUUUAAUGACUCAUUCGGCGCCUUACG
This 522-nucleotide ribosomal RNA is filed under the name uncultured Glomus. RNAcentral describes it as "SSU rRNA". It matches the Rfam family "Eukaryotic small subunit ribosomal RNA", at positions 569 to 1092 of the family's 1831-position model. Lineage: Eukaryota; Fungi; Glomeromycota; Glomeromycetes; Glomerales; Glomeraceae. The record is from RNAcentral.